RNAcentral lists this ribosomal RNA (253 nucleotides) under uncultured bacterium. RNAcentral describes it as "partial 16S ribosomal RNA". It matches the Rfam family "Bacterial small subunit ribosomal RNA", at positions 524 to 776 of the family's 1533-position model. The record is from RNAcentral.
UACGGAGGAUGCAAGCGUUAUCCGGAAUGAUUGGGCGUAAAGCGUCCGCAGGUGGCGAUGUAAGUCUGCUGUUAAAGAGUGAGGCUCAACCUCAUAAGAGCAGUGGAAACUACAUAGCUAGAGUACGUUCGGGGCAGAGGGAAUUCCUGGUGUAGUGGUGAAAUGCGUAGAGAUCAGGAAGAACACCAGUGGCGAAGGCGCUCUGCUAGGCCGUAACUGACACUGAGGGACGAAAGCUAGGGGAGCGAAUGGG